RNAcentral lists this long non-coding RNA (16325 nucleotides) under Gossypium barbadense (sea-island cotton). Its description in RNAcentral is "long non-coding RNA (GBAR_LNC009790)". Lineage: Eukaryota; Viridiplantae; Streptophyta; Magnoliopsida; Malvales; Malvaceae. The record is from RNAcentral.
CAAGAAAAGGAAAGUAGCAACGAACUCAGCGAUUCCAGCUCGGUAAAAAGACCAUGAGGUCAACUCACUAGGCUCAAACAAGGGUGCUGGUGGUGGCUCAGUGUAAUCCUUAUCAUCUUGGGACUGAGCUGCUGUCCCAAUAGGCUGCCUUUCUGAGAACUUGUUAGCUCCCAAUCUAACAUCUUCUUCUUUCCCUUCCAUUGAUUUCCCUUCUGUUUUUUGCUCUUUACUACUGAAAAACAAUGGAACCUGUGAGCUAAAAGAAACUAAAUUCUCCGUGGUUUUUAUGAGUUAAUGGGGUGCGUAUUUUAUAUACUAUGUUUAGAUGAGUAAAAUGAAUAAAUUAUUUGUUAGAAUUCAAUAUUUGAAUAUUUAAAUAUAAUGAAUUAUGACCGACCAAUCGUUUUUGGGAAAAUGACAUGAAAUAAACACAAUUGGAAUAAUUAUGAUUAGUGAACGACAAUGGUGGGGUGGCUGCUGGGAGACCUUAGUUGGCUUAAUUUUGGCCACAAAUUUGUGAGCUGAUGAUGAUCACAGCCACCGCCCCAUUGCCAGAACGAAGGGAGUGUAUGAUAAUACUCUAAAAUGACGUGUUUUUAUAUAUUAAUCAUGUGUUUAUUUUGAGCUUGAGCCUACUAAUUUGAGCUAUUUAUGUCUUUUUAUCUUUUAUGGACUAAAUUGGAGGUGAAAAGUAAAUUCAAGGGAAAAAGCGUCAAUUUGAAAAUUAAAUGGGCCAAUAUGCAACGUGGGACAAAUAUGGUGCCAAAAGUGCGAACAUGGAAGGCACAAGGACUUAAAAGCAAAUACAAGAGAUUUUAUUUUGGAAGACUCUAUUUUCUUUUAUUCUAUUAGGAUAAUUAAUAUUAAGAUAAUUAUUAGAAUUAUUCAAAUUUAGGAUUUUAUUUUAAUUAUCUUUGUUUAUCUUUAAUUAAAUUGUAUUUAUCUUUUUAGAAUUUAAGUUCAAUUAGAUUAUCUCCCUAGCACUAUAAAUAGGAGGUGAAGUGACUCUAUUGAGAGCAUCUUUUUAUGUAAACACUCUCUCCCAAAAGUCUUUUGUUCUUUCAUAUUUCUUUUCAAUAAAAUUUCUUUUUCCAUAUUUUUAUUUAUUUUCUUUCCCAUAAUUAUCAUGAGCCACUAAAACCCUUCUAGCCAAAAGUUGUCAAUAUUUCCCCAAAAAAGGUUCUUGAGGCCUAGAAUCCGUUCUUAGCCUUCUCGCCAAGUAUUCAUCGUUUCUCCGCACUAUGGGCUGACGCUUCCGUCCAUGGCCCUUAAGAAGUAAGCUUUUCAGCAUAUGCAAAGGCGGCCGCUUUGUAUGUUUUGGAAGGAUUGCAUAGUCGGUUCGUUAACUUACUGCGUCAGAGGUUGGCGAGCCAAAGAGACAAAAUGGCGUGGGAUUCGCCAUAGAGAAGCGUUGAUCUAGCAUAGAUUACUGGCUAGAGUCAGGUUCCCUAAAAAUCGUAAGUCUAAUCUUUGGAGCUGGUGGUCGUAGGCGUCCUCUUCCACUAUAACUGGCUUACUCGAGUCGAGAAGAAUCAUCCAAAAGCCAAGGAUUGAGCCCAAGGCGGAAUGAGACAACCGGAGGCUGGAACUUUCCCAUAAGAAUUUCUUUUCACUUAAAACUCUCUUUAUUAUUUUUAUUAUUUUCGUAAUCAUAAUUUUAGUAAACUUUAAAAUUUGUUUUUAUUUUAUUUUCGCUUCCAAAAUCAAUUCUUAAAAUCUAUUUUUUUUCCAAGAACACAGGUUUUCUUGGGCACAAUUCUGCCCAGAAUUUCGAGAAACAAGCAUUCGUAUAAUCCGGUCCCUAAGGAUUCGACCCUACUUCCCCUUUACUGUUCUUUUUCUAUUUUUAUUAUUUUACAGGGAAUAGGUUAUUUUUUGUGCUCUCAACGACCGCAUCAAAUUUUGGCGCCGUUGCCGGGGAUCGGCAACAUACUAAUCUUGUUUUUCUUUGUUUUUUAUGACCAGAUCUGCUCCAGGUACUCUUGCGUUCGACUCAAAAAUCGAAAAAACUGCGAAAGAUAAUCGAAAGGAAACAAAAUUAAGGAAAAAGCAGUCAGUGGUGGUUGGAACUAAAAGCAAUCCACCGCCAGAAAUUAGAAUCGACAACGAAGUAGAGUCUAGGGUUAACGAAAACCCUACUCAAACGUUAGAAAGUAAAGAAGAAGAAGUCGAUUCCCCUGAAGAAGUGCUGAACACUAGGGUUGACGAAAACCCUAAUUUAACACCUCAACUUAUGGCUCAGACAAUUCGGCAACUGGCCGAAGCGCCGACAGAACAACCGCCACUAUGCAUCGCGUAUCCUACUAUGGAUACUGAUUUUGAAUUAAAGUCAGGCUUGAUUCAGCUACUGCCAACUUUCCGUGGGUUACAAAAUGAAAACCCCCACAAGCAUUUAAAAGAAUUUCAUAUGGUUUGUUUGAGUAUGAAACCUCAGGGGGUAACUGAGGAUCAAAUUAAAUUGCGCGCUUUCCCCUUUUCCCUAGCAGAUUCAGCCAGGGAAUGGUUAUUUUAUUUACCUCCUGGAUCCAUUACAACUUGGGCUGAUCUAUCUCGUUUAUUCCUUAACAGGUUUUUCCCUGCAUCACGAGCGGCUGAGUUAAGAAGAGAAAUCGUGGGCAUAAGGCAAAAAACGCAGAGACUCUAUACGACUAUUGGGAGCGAUUUAAGAAGUUGUGUGCAAGUUACCCACAACACAGUAUAACGGAACAGUCUUUGCUCCAGUACUUUUAUGAAGGCUUGAAACCCAUAGAGAUGAAUAUGGUAGAUGCCGCGAGUGGAGGAGCGUUAGUCAACAUGACUCCACAACAAGCAAGGGACUUAAUCUCCACAAUGGCUGCAAAUUCCAAGCAAUUUCGAGCCAAUCCUGAACCCCCUAGAAGGGUUCACCAGCUAAGUAAUUCUACCAUUGAAGAUAGACUUGAUAGACUUACUAAUAUUGUGAAUUCCCUUGUUACAGAAAAAUCAAAACCAGCCCGAGUAUGUAGAAUAUGUGCUACACCUGAACAUACGACUGAUGCGUGCCCUAGUCUGUAUGACGAUUCUAUGGCCCAUUUAGAUGCUGUGGGAAAUUUUCCUAGGCCACCACAAAGACGAUACGACCCUUACGCCAAUACCUACAACCUAGGAUGGAGGGACCACCCUAAUUUUAGUUAUGGGGCUAAUCCACGAUAUAACCAGCCAUACCAAAAUUGGGCCCCACAACAGGUGCAAGAUUCAGGUAAUUCUCUGGAAACUUUGGUCAAUAAAUUAGCAACUAAUGUCCUUGAUUUUCAACAGCAAACUCUCAAUUUCCAAACAGAAAUGAAGGGUUUUCAGCAGAAAACUGAAGCAUCCAUAAGGGAGUUGACCACAUCAAUUGAGAAAUUAAACUCUCAAGGGAAACUGCCAUCACAAACAGAACCAAACCCGAGGUAGAAUGCGAAUGCAGUAACGUUACAAAGCGGAAAGAUCCUGGAACCAGUUCCUGGCAAGAAUCUUGGUCAAGAAAUCGCCCAGGAAACUCCAGGAAACGACGAACAGAUCCGAACGAAACCCCCAUGCCGAAAAUCCAACCUCCAUUCCCAGGACGAUUAAAUCAGUGUCGAAAAAGUAAGGAAGACAAGGAGAUCCUCGAAACAUUCAGGAAUGUUGAGAUAAACUUACCACUGUUAGAUGCCAUUAGACAGAUUCUACGGUAUGCCAAGUUCCUCAAAGAACUUUGCACCAACAAACGAAAACUAACAGGUAAUGAAAAGGUAAGUGUUGGUGAGAAUGAUUCCGCAGUUCUACAGCGAAAAAUGCCGGUUAAAUUCAAAGAUAGGGGCAUGUUCGCUAUUCCAUGCAAAAUUGGCCAUUUGGGAAUUAAGAAGGCUAUGUGUGAUCUAGGGGCCUCCAUAAAUGUAAUGCCUUAUUCUAUUUAUGAAUCACUUAAUGCGGGUUUUUUGACAAAGACAGGUGUUACCAUUCAGUUGGCAGACAGGUCUAUUGUGCAUCCCGAAGGUAUCCUCGAGGACGUAUUAGUCAAAGUCAAUGGGCUUAUCUUCCCUGCAGAUUUUUAUGUGAUAAAAAUAGAGGAGGAUAACACUCCUGGGUCUUCAGACAUCUUGUUGGGGCGACCUUUCCUUAGUACUGCGAAUACUAAGAUUGAUGCACCAUAUCCGAAAUUAAAACCACUUCUCGAGCGUUUCAAAUUCACAUUUUUGGAGAAUGAUGAGACCAUUGCUUACUUAAAAGGGAUCAACCCCUUGGAGGAAAAUACGGAACCAAAGAAAGAGGCGCAAGGACGAUUAAACCCAAAUAUGGUGGACGUGUUAAAAAAUGAGAAUUUCCAAGCACAUAAGAACAAAAGAAUUUAGCUGGAACAGCCCCAAUACUAGUUGAGGCGUCAAGCUAGCGACGUUAAACAAGCGCUUGUUGGGAGGCAACCCAACAUUUCUUUUUCUUUUUAUUUAUUUUUUCUUUUAUUAUUUAUUAUUUUAUUUUUAAUUUAUUUUAUUUUAUUUAAAUAUUAAUAAAUUUCUCUUCUUCCAUCUAGGUGAAAUGGAGCGAAAAUACGCACCAAAACAACCCUAUCCAUGGUACCAAACAGUUCUAUUCCAGCCCAAAAUGCCAUAUCCCUGCUGCUAAAUAGUUUUAUUCCAGCCCAGAAUGCCAUAUCUCUGCAGCCAAACAGUCCUAUUUCAGCCUUAGAAUCCCCAAAACCUGCAGCCAAACACCCCUUUUCAGCAAAUAAAACCCCCAAACCUUACAUUUUUUCCCCAAAUUUCUCCAUAACCGCCGACUCCUUUCUCCUCCAUCACCCACCCCGUCUCCACCUCUUGCCGCUUCGCCAUCUUCUUCUCCACCGUGUGCGCCAACCGACAGUAACUACAUGGGGAGUUUUUCUAAACUUUUUUUUUCUCUUCACCUAUUUGUUUUCCUUUUACUUUCACAUCGAGGACUAUGUGUUUUAAAUGGGGGGAGGCAUUCUUCGUUGUUACUGUUAUUAUCUGCUAUUUUUGCUGUCAUAUUGUUGUUGCUGUUGUUUUGUGCUCGUUUCUGCCUAUUUAUUUUAAGAAUAUCCUGCUGCUUUUCAUGCCAAAGAUUUUACCAGGAAUUGCCUACUGUUUGACUUUCAUGCAUGAUUCUUACCUUCUAAGGAAGUUCUGAUUUUUCCCAUAAUUGAUUCCAUCUCCACUGUUUUAUUUUUAUUAGGCUAAAAAUAAUUGUGAUUAAUAGGGUUAAUUCUAUCUUGCUUUUCGUAAAAUUGAUCAAGUUUACACUUAAAAUGAUUGCAUGCUUAAUUAAUGUUCAUGGCUAUUAGGUGAUUAUUGAAACUUAUUUUUGACACUUAAAUUUUUUUCUUUCCUGAGUUCUCAAGAAUUUUAAAUAUCGUUUAAUUUUUAAUAAAUGUUUUCCAUGGUUAUGAGUACAGCUCAAAUCGUGACUGACUGAGUAACCGGGGUAGGGUGCUUGGGUUUUCAUUCUACUUCGUGUCAAAAGGUUGUGUGACGUGUUGGGUAAAACUCCGCUAACCGGAAAUAAAUAAUUUUAGGAGUAUGUUGGGCUGAGUAACCGGGGUGGGGUGCUUGGGUUGUCAUCUCUCUUCGCGUCAAAAGGUUUAAUAUAUUCCUAAGUAAAUAAAUAAUAAUAAAAUUUAAAAAAAAUAAAAAAAGAAAAAAAGAAAAAAAAAAGAAAAAAAUAAGUACUAAUAAAGUUGCACUUCGGGGACUAAAGGAGGAAAUAAUUAAGGUGUCUUAGUAGGUUUGGUAAUUUACCUAAAUGGCAUAACUCAAGUCGAUCUUAAUUUUUGUGUGAAAUAAUUGGAAUACUUUUUCUGUUUUACUUAAAGCAAGCUUAGAGGUCUCUUUAUUUUUCAUAUGCAUUUUUAACUAAUUUUUAUGAAACUUUGGAGUGGUAUUUCUUUUAUGGCAGAAUCUAGCUUUCACAGUCGAUAGGAACCAUACUUGAGGGCAAGCAUGGGCUAAGUAGGGGGAAUUUGAUAAUACUCUAAAAUGACAUGUUUUUAUAUAUUAAUCAUGUGUUUAUUUUGAGCUUGAGCCUACUAAUUUGAGCUAUUUACGUCUUUUUAUCUUUUAGGGACUAAAUUGGAGGUGAAAAGUAAAUUCAAGAGAAAAAGCGUCAAUUUGGAGAUUAAAUGGGCCAAUAUGCAACGUGGGACAAAUAUGGUGCCAAAAGUGCGAACAUGGAAGGCACAAGGACUUAAAAGCAAAUAGAAGAGAUUUUAUUUUGGAAGACUCUAUUUCUUUUAUUCUAUUAGGAUAAUUAAUAUUAAGAUAAUUAUUAGGAUUAUUCAAAUUUAGGAUUUUAUUUUAAUUAUCUUUGUUUAUCUUUAAUUAAAUGUAUUUAUCUUUUUAGAAUUUAAGUUCAAUUAGACUAUCUCCAUAGCACUAUAAAUAGGAGGUGAAGUGACUCUAUUGAGAGCAUCUUUUUCUGUAAACACUCUCUCCCAAAAGUCUUUUGUUCUUUCAUAUUUCUUUUUAAUAAAAUUUCUUUUUCCAUAUUUUUAUUUAUUUUCUUUCCCACAAUUAUCAUGAGCCACUAAAACCCUUCUAGCCAAAAGUUGUCAAUAUUUCCCCAAAAAAGGUUCUUGAGGCCUAGAAUCCGUACUUAGCCUUCUCGCCAAGUAUUCAUCGUUUCUCCGCACUAUGGGCUGACGCUUCCGUCCAUGGCCCUUAAGAAGUAAGCUUUUCAGCAUAUGCAAAGGCGGCCGCUUUGUAUGUUUUGGAAGGAUUGCAUAGUCGGUUCGUUAACUUACUGCGUCAGAGGUUGGCGAGCCAAAGAGACAAAAUGGCGUGGGAUUCGCCAUUGAGAAACGUUGAUCUAGCAUAGAUUACUGGCUAGAGUCAGGUUCCCUAAAAAUCGUAAGUCUAAUCUUUGGAGCUGGUGGUCGUAGGCGUCCUCUUCCACUAUAACUGGCUUACUCGAGUCGAGAAGGAUCAUCCAAAAGCCAAGGAUUGAGCCCAAGGCGGAAUGAGACAACCGGAGGCUGGAACUUUCCCAUAAGAAUUCCUUUUCACUUAAAACUCUCUUUAUUAUUUUUAUUAUUUUCGUAAUCAUAAUUUUAGUAAACUUUAAAAUCUGUUUUUAUUUUAUUUUCGCUUCCAAAAUCAAUUCUUAAAAUCUAUUUUUUUAUUUUUUCCAAGAACGCAGGUUUUCUUGGGCAUAAUUCUGCCCAGGAUUUCGAGAAACAAGCAUUCGUAUAAUCCGGUCCCUGAGGAUUCGACCCUACUUCCCCUUUACUGUUCUUUUUCUAUUUUUAUUAUUUUACAGGGAAUAGGUUAUUUUUGGUUCUCUCAACGACCGCAUCAGUGUAAAUGAUUGGAUUGGUGUUUCUGUGUUUCAAAAAUGGCGAAAGCUUAGUCAAAAAUUGAAUAACAGAAUUCCAAGGUUUAGUUCGAUAUAAUUUUUUUGGAAGAAAAUUUUUUUAAGUAAAAAUAUAAUAUAAGUGUAAGUAUAAUAUAAUAAUUACAAGUACUGAGUAAGUAAAUGUUGGAGUAACUUUAAAAUAGUAAUGUUUUUUAAAUGGAUUGAUGGUUGAAUUGGUUAGGUUAUUGGUUUAUCGAUUUAAUCGGUUUGAUUGGUUUAAUUAAAAAAUUUUAAAAAAAUUUUAAAAAAUCUUAUUAAGCCGAUUCAACUAUCGGUUCAAUCGAUUUAUACUAAUUUUCAAUCUAAGCAAUUCAAAACCACUUUUUAAACCGAUCCGAUUCAAACAAAACUGAAAAAUAGAAUCAAAUCAUUAUUAGUUUACUACACACAGACAGACGAAGAACAUCUAGGCUAAAACUCACUGAUGGGAUUGGAGACUUAUACAUGCAUAGUUAUAGGUGAUAGGACUUAAAUAUUUAGGAUUCAGGGCCUCGGCCUUUUCCAACAAUGAGAAGACUUCAUUGACUUAAUUUAAUAUAAAUUGGCUUUAUUUUAUUGAGAAAAUAUUUGACACACUAUGAGUAGAGUUUUUAGACUCCAAAUGAAAAGUCAAGAUGAUAAUAAGUGUACUACAAAUUAUAGUAAAAUAUUAAAAAUACAUAUAAAAUAAAUAAGAUACAUAACAAUUUUUUAAAUCUAUUUGUGAACUGAGUGAAUCAAAUAUUAAUCUUUAUUUUAUUACUAAUAUAUUUUUAAAAGAUUUAUUAUUAAUAUUAUACCUUACCAUAACUAACACUUUUUAAAAAAAAAUCCAAAUAUUGAGAUUAUAGGGAAAAUCUUGGCUUUAUAUGAGCCAAUGAUUUUCACCUAAAAUUGGAAAAGGAAAAAUGCAGAAAAGUGAGAAUCUGUAAUCCAGGCUAUACUGUUUCUGGAAGAUAAUGAUGGAGUAAUUGGGAAUUUAUUUAUAAUUAAUUUCCUUAACCUAAUCUUGUUUGUUUAAUUUUUGUCAUUCUAAAAAGAAUGGCUUCUAAUGACUAAUGUAACAUAUUAAUCAUAUUCAGAAUCUUUCUGCUUUCAUCAUUACAUAUAUAUAUAUAAAAAAGCUGGCAAAACCUUUAGGUUAGAGGCAUCAUUAUUAUUAUAGUUUAUAUUCAAGGUUUAUAAUCAAGAAUGAAAAGAGAAAAGUUAUCUUCAUUUUAGAGUUUAUAUUUAAGGUUUAUAAUCAGAGGUGGAGGAAGGGGCUAGAAGGGCCUUGACCCUCUUAAAAUAUAAAUUUAUUUUUUAGUUUUUUUAAUUUUAUAUAAUUUUAAAUUGAUAAAUAGUUAAAUUACACUUUGCCCUAAAAAAGAUAAAAGAUAGAUUUUAAUUUAGUCCUUUAAAAAUUAAAAAGGUAUGAGCUAUUAAAAUAGUGAAAUUACAUUUUAGUAUUUAUUCGUAAUUGUCUUUUUCAACAAUAUUAUUUUCAAAGUUUAUACCUGUAUUUCUCUCCUUCAAAGAGCAAUAUCCCUUACCAUUACAACCAACACUUGUUAGUUGAACACUUUAGUUUUGAAAAUGCCUAAGAAAAUUAAUAUCAUAAAUCAUAGUUUGAAAAUCAAUUCAUAUGUUUGAAUAUAUUUAUAUAUAUUAUAUUUGAAAUUUGAAAAUAUGUAAGAAAAUUAAUAUCAUAACUUUCAAAUUCAAUCCAUAUGUUUGAAUACAUGUGUUUGAAUUAAUCAAAUUCUAAUAUAUGAAACUUUUUUAAUAAAAAGAAAUGUUAUAUUAAAAAAUUUUAAAAACUAUAAAACAUAAAAAAAAUUCAAAAUUUCUUAAAAUUAUAGAAAAUAAAAAUCAUAAAUUAAAAAAUCAUAAAAAAAUUUUAAAAUAAACAAAAUUUUCCUAGAUUUGAAAUUUAGUCUCUCUACUUUUAUUUCGAGGAAUUCAAUCACUAUUUAAGUCUAUUUUUUAGCACCAUUAAAAAUUUUAAGUUAAAUUCACUAGUUUGACAUUUUAGGAUAAACAAAAUAUUCAUUUGGUAAUUAUGUAACAAAAAAAUGAUGUUGUAAUGAAUCUAAAUUUAACAAAAGAAUUUUUAACGAUGUUAACAAUUAGAGUUGUAUUUUAUAAUUUGAAAAGUGAAGGGACUAAAUUUCAAAUGUAUAACUAUAUUGUCUUAAAAGAAAAUAUGAUUUUCAAAAAAAAAAAAAGAAUCAUGUUCACAUUAAUUAUUACGUGUUAAUGUAAUGUCUACAAUUGUGACAUCAUAAUUGCAAUUGGAUACUAUGGUUCCAACACAAUAAAAGGGGGAGCCAUAUUGCAUGGUUCUUCGACAUGAGUUUUGUGGAAAGAGAAAAUAUGAUUCACCCUAUAGGUGGAGAGUUGCAAAGUAAAGAUGUUGAAGCUGGUUAUAGAGGAAUGAAGAACCGAUGAAAGGAAGGCUUGGAGAAGAAGAGGAGAGAGAAGUUGAGAACUUGAACCAAAAAUGAGAGAGAGGUUCCCCAUCAUCGAGGAGUAAGAGGAGUAUAUGAAUAGGUUGGCCCCCUUACCAUGUGGCGUGUUUUGAUUGGUCGACUUGUCAUUCAAUGGUUAAUUGUUAGGUCAACAAGAUGAUCUGAUGUUUUUAAAUUGCAAGGUGUAUGGAUGAUAAGUGAUAGGUGGGUUGUUAGAGUGGUUAGGAUAUCAGGGGUAGCUAACUUAUCUACUCCUAAUAACCUUGUGGAAUAGUUCUAUUGGUGAAGGAUGAGGACAUGGCGAACUAGGUCAGGCGACGAAGGUGGUGGUCUAAUGGAGUUCAGUGUCAUUCACCUUUUUGGCGAAAGAGUCAGUCAUGGAGAAUGAGGCCCUAACAAGGUAUAUAUAACAAUUUUCCCUAGUCGAAAAAAAGGUUGCAAUAUGGCCUUCCUUGAUACAUGAAUGCAUGUAAGGCAAAUAUUACUUACCCAUUUUUGUGGGACAUUUUCAUCAAUGCAGAGUACAAAUAUUCGUAAUUUUCAAAUUUUUAAAUUUCAAACUUUGUAACAGAUGACUUAAGUGUUAACUUGAUGAUUAAGAGUGAUCUAAGGAAGCACUAUUUAAGACAUUGCUUGAGUCGUGUGCAUUUUUAGGAUGAUGAUGAAAUGUAGGAGACAAGGCAAUUCUUGUAUUGGUAUUGCAAUGGUUUCUUGAGAAAUAUGUACACAAGUGAUGUGUUUAGCAAUAGUAUUUUGAGAAACAUGCAUGUAAUUUAUGUAUUUGACAAAUGGAGGUUAGCUAGGUUCUUUUGGAAAUAAGGUAACAAUUUUACCUUUUGGUUCUUCGAUGUGAGUUUCUUUUUCACUUUCCUUUUUUGAUUCUUUAGUUUCUUUAUUUGUUCUAAUGUUGGGAGUUUUUGAGAUUCUUUACUUUGUAGAAUGGUCAACGAUAAUAGGUAUAAGCAUAUUGUUAAGAAGAAAGGUAGUAGGAAAAAGAAGUCAAUUGACAUAUUUGUCAGUACUGACAAUUUUGAGUGCGCGCAAUGGAGGAGAUGAGGGUGUUAUUAAAAUGUUAUGGUUUGCAAUUGGACAACUACCAAUAUGAAUUUUUGAUUCCAACCAAGGAGAAAACUUUGAGUAUGAUGUUCAUAAAGGGUAAACGUAAGCUAGCCUUUUUAUACCAUUAUACAUGUUUGAGGUUGGAUUCCAUCUUCCUUGCAUCCAUUUUUUUGUGAAGCUUUUAAGCUCUUAUGGAAUUGCAUGGGGUAGUUAGUGGGGACCUUGUGGUAGGAUCUUAUAACAUAUUUCCUUUAUUGUUAAUGGUGAGGUGAAUAACUUUUGGUGGGAGUGUUCUGGAAGAUUUAUAUUAUGUCUCCCAUUAGUGGAAGGUAUUAGAUAGGGUUUGUAUUCUUCAUGGCACAUAAAGGUUGUCAGGUCAUGUUGGAUAACACUAAGAGUAACAUGCAUCUAAUGAAGGAAAAGAAUAUUCUGAGAAAGGAUUGUAUGAAACUGUAAUUCCACAUCAUCCUUAUCCUUUUCCAAUAGGAGAAUGAAAAAUUAGAUUUUUCCUCCUAAUUUUUAACAUUUUUAGUUGAAUUUGAAAUUUUUCAAGAGGAAAAAUCUGAUUUUUCAUUCUCUUAUUAGAAAGGGAUAGGGAUGACAUGAAAUCACAGUUUUAUACAAUCCCUUGUCGUAUAUUCUAGUAUACCACUACUUUGUUAGGAACUUUCAUUUCCUCAAAAGGUAGGUGUUACCAUCGAGUGAUAUGUAUACGACUAACCCUAAUCCACUCUCGAAAAAUGCUCGUUAACGAUACCUACACCUUAAAAAAGUCUUUUAUUAAAGGUUAAAGGGACAAUUGCCCUUCAUAAAUUAAUGCUAUUAUUUGGAAGAGAAGAGUUCUAACAAGUUUUGAAGAGUUAAUUUAUGUUUGGACCUUUAAACAAGCGAAGGUUUAAAAUCAUGUGGAGAAAGUUGGACGCAUAGGGGCAUUGAUGUUGUUGGAAAGAUUUUCCCGGGGUAGAAAAAUAACUUGAAGAUAUUGUAACGCUCUAAAAAUCUAAGCAACAAUUUUUGUAUGUUUUGUUGCAUAAAUACAUGUCUGCUUCAGUGGUUGAGUGUCUUGAGGAGUGUUGGAGAAGUCCUGAGUUCAAGCCUUAGCUUGUACAAAAUUUUGUUUUUGCCCCAUUAUGCUAAUUCGGUCAUAGGCUUGUGGGUGCCGAAAUUGUGUGGUUUUUGAUUCCCACUUUUGUUAGCUAUUAUUUCUUUUGUUACUUUCCUCUCUAUUUUCCUUUCUUUCGGGUUUUUGCAAUCGAGGUUCUUUUCUUUUGUUUCUGAAGCUGAGUUGUGUUUUUGAAAGUACCUUUCAGUCCUAGUUGCUUGCGAUUUUUCUUCUCCCUCACAUCUUUUCUCAAAUGGCUUCUCUUUUGGCCGAACACCUAUUGCUUUCCUAUCUCUCAAAUCAUUUCAAUUUAGCCUGGGGUGAUCAAGUCUUUCCUUUUCUUCUUCCUUCUUCUUUCAAGUGCAAUUUACUCUUUGUUGGCUGAAUAUUGCUCUUACAUUUAUCCUUUGUGUGCCGACUCUUUCUUGUGCUUAUUCUUUGUUGAUCUUGGUGGUAAGUGCUGCUAUUUUGAUUUUGUUUUUGUUCACCCUUUUUUUCCCUUUCUGCCGAAUCUGUAGUUCUCUUUUAACACCUUCUUCUCUGGCUGGAGAUUGUUAGUAGAGUGAUUGCGCUAGUUCUGCCUUGUUGUAGUGGCAUUUUUGGGGAAUUGUGAACUGAUUACUUCCUUUCCCUAGUUUCGGUUCUACAAUUUCGAUAAGUGGUUGUGCGAUUGGUUAAAUUUAUGUGCGUGUAUUAUGUUAGUUAUGUGUUCGUUUGAAACGCAGGUAUCUCUAAAGGAGUUUGUAAUCGGGUUCGUGUAUCGGUUUAAGGGUGGAAUCUUUAUUAGUUCAGUAAAGGCAAGUAUUAGUGAGUUGGUUGUGAUAAAGUAUAAGAAUGGAUGUUAAUCCUAUUGUUAUUGAUUAAAUGGAGUAUUUUGGUUGAAUGUAGGCUUUGGGCUCGUGGGCUACUUGCGCAUCUUCGUUUAAGGUGUGUAAUCACACUGCUAUUAGUGUAGAUCAGCAAAAGCUGGAAACGUAUGACUAUUAACUCUACACGAGCUUACGCUCACUCGUGUGGUGAUCCAAACGCAUAAAACGUGGGCGUUUGACAGUAAAGGCCACCAUGAACGAUUUCAUGGGCUUAGGCCGGUUUGGGCCACGUUGGGCAAAAAUGGCCAUGUGGCCCCAACGGGCAUGUGGAGAUUAUUGGGCUAGGCUGUGUAGUUUGCACGGUCAAUGCCAUGUUGGGCUUAUUGGGCCACAUGGGUGUAUGGGCCCACAUGGGCCGUGUUAUAGGUUUUGAGCCUAUUUUUACUAUUUGACCAUUAUGGUUGCACGGGUCGCCCGAGACGAUUAUGGACCUACUGUUGGGUCGAUAAGUAUACUUGGACCUCAUACUAAUGAAAUGACUGUUAUACCCCUAAGAGGUAAAAUGACUGAUAUACCCCUAUGAUAUGUUUUAUUGUAUUUGAGCAUGACAUGUUGCAUACACGUAUGAUAAUAUGACAUGACACAUUGCAUGGGGGAUGGGUUUGAUAUAUUUGGAGGAAGUGUACUGUACUGGCAGCUCUGUUGCAAAUACUGUUUAGUGUCGCAACCGGUACUAUAUUUUGGAGUGUAAGGAUGGGUGGGUCGAUUUUAUCCCCACAUGGAGUGUAUGGCUAGACGGAGUGGAGUGUAGAGGAUGGAUGGGUAGGACUUUUGAUUGCAUUUCUGUUACUGUUACUGUAAUGGGUUAAGGCCCACACUACUACUGAUACUGUAUUGGGCUAAGGCCAUAACUGUUAUUGGACUGUUACUAAAAUGGGCUUCGGCCCAAACUGUAUUUGUCUAUGGUGUGACUGAUUGUUUGCUUAAUAAGGGAUUACACACUAAGUUUUCAUAAACUCACCAUUCUGUUCCCUGUGCAGGUAAUCCUUAGGUGGGUCGGUGCUGCAAGGGACUCGAUGGAGGCCACGCAACAGCUAUUGCUAUUGUUUAAAAACUUUUAAUCUUUAAGCUAUUUAAUUUUGGUUUUGUUAUGUAAUAAGGCCUCUUUAAAAUUUUACUUUGGUGUGGGGUUUUACUAUUUCGAUUUAUAUCUGCUAGUAAUAAGUCGCAGAUUUUCAAAAAGAUAAAUGUUUUCAAAACACCACGCUAUUACAACAUAUCUUUCCGCAACAAACUUUAAUUUUAAAAUGUAAUAACAAUCUUAAACAAUUAAACUCUUGCUAAACCUACUUGAAUUCUUAACAACAAUCAAGAUACUUAAAAGUUUUGCAAAAAGAUCUCUACGAGGGAUUUAGUAAAGUAUGAACUUUUCAAACAGAACGAUGAAUUUCAAAAUACACUUUAAUGUGACAUCGUAGAUUCGGCCAUAACGUCUAGGCUGGGUUUGGGGUGUUAUAGAUAUGUUGGUGAAAUAUGACCAUUGCCUCUACCGAAAAUGGGAGUGUAGGAGGAAGAAGGUGCCAAUCUAGAAAAGGAAAAAAGAAAGUUGGAACCUCUAGUUUGUAGAAAGAAAACAGAGAGGUAUGUGAAAGCUUGAACCAAAAUACAAGAGGUCCCUCUUGUUGAGGAGUAAAAUGAGUACAUGAAGAGGUUAGCCCCUUACACGUGGUGCAUUCUGAUUGGCCAACUUGAUAUUCAAUUAUUCCUAGCUAUGUCAACAACAUGAUGUGUUAUUACUAAGAUAUAAGGUAUGUGGGUGACCAAUGAUAAGUGUCUUGUCAGAGUGGUUAGGUUGUCAUCGUAGGAGUACAUAAAUAGGUUAGCCCCUUACACGUGGUGCAUUCUGAUUAGCCAACUCGAUAUUUAAUUAUUCCUAGCUAUGUUAACACAAUGAUGUGCUAUUAUUAAGAUACAAGGUAUGUGGGUGACCAAUGAUAAGUGUCUUGUCAGAGUGGUUAGGUUGUCAUGGUAGCUAACUUGCGUACUCUUGGAGGAAUAGUUCUCCUAGCAAAGGAUGGAUUCCUUGGUGAAUUAGGUUAUGUAGUGAAGAUGGUGGUCUAUCAAAGUUCAAUGUCGUGCAUCCUUUUGGUGAGGGUGUUAGCCAUGGUGAAGGAAGUCCUUGCAUGGGAUUUGUAACAAGUUUAAACUUCAAAAAAGAAAAUUGUGAGUCAACCAUUGAAGUUCAACCUCAAAGUUGUUCCAUUUGUUGUUUAACUUCUCAAGGCUGCCUUAAACUAUGCUUCAAAUUUUUUGAAAGAGAGCACAUUUAUAUUGGACUUUACUUAAAUUUGGAGCAAUAUAUUACAGAUUCUUACAUCCAAAUACAAAAGGCAUGCAAACAAAAAAAAAUGGAAAAACAAACUGAAAGGGUGCAUGAGUGGAACUUUCACUUUCUUGAAAUCAUAUGAUCAUGACCAUUGAUGUAGAUCAUUUUGAUUUGAAAGGAAUGGCUCUGAUCACAACAACGUGGUAAAGUGCUGCUAGUGCUGCACCAAUGAAUGGACCCACCCAGAAAAUCCACUGCAAUCAAACCAGACCCAAAGUAGAUAAGUAUAUUAUUCAUGAUUAAAAAUAAUAAUAGUGAAAAAUGGUGAAACAAUUGACUUACAUGGUCAUCCCAGCCCUUGUCCUUGUUGAAAAUGAUGGCCGCACCAAGGCUACGAGCUGGGUUAAUACCAGUUCCUGUGAUUGGGAUGGUGGCUAAGUGUACCAAGAACACUGCGAACCCAAUUGGCAAUGGUGCCAAAAUCUACCAAACACAUGGUCAUGGUUAAAAAUCUGGGUUUUUAAUGGUUUAAACAAUUCAAUCAUUCAUUUGAUGAAACUUACAGGGACGUGAGAGUCUCUGGCACUGCGCUUGGCGUCAGUGGCUGAGAACACAGUGUAAACAAGAACAAAGGUACCAACAAUUUCAGCACCAAGCCCAUCUCCCUUGGUGUAGCCAUGAUUCACAGAGUUAGCUCCACCACCCAAAGCACCAUACCUUGUCUUCCCCAUGAACCCUUUAACCACACCAGCCCCACAUAUAGCUCCCAAGCACUGCAUCACCAUGUAGAAUAUUGCCCUUGUCAAAGACAAUUUCCUUCCCAAGAACAGCCCAAAUGUCACCGCCGGAUUUAUAUGACCACCUAUAACAUCACCAUAACUCAUCAAUACUAUACUUUUCUAUCAUUUUCCUGAGAAACAAACAAGGAAUAAAGCUGAUCAUAUAGUUUACCUGAGAUACCAGCAGUGCAGUAAACAAGAGCAAAGAUCAUACCACCAAAAGCCCAAGCAAUCCCUUGAAUCCCAACAGUUGUACACUUGGUUUUGUCCUUAAGGACUCCCAUCACAGUCAACACCGAGAUGUACAAGAAUAGGAAAGUAGCAACGAACUCAGCGAUUCCAGCUCGGUAAAACGACCAUGAAGUCAACUCACUAGGCUCAAACAAGGGUGCUGGGGGUGGCUCAGUGUAAUCCUUAUCAUCUUGGGACUGAGCUGCUGUCCCAAUAGGUUGCCUUUCUGAGAACUUGUUAGCU